AAUCAACGCUGGCGGCGUGCCUAAUACAUGCAAGUCGAACGCGAAAGCCCCUUCGGGGGUAAGUAGAGUGGCGUCCGGGUGAGUAACACGUAGGUAAUCUACCUUCGGGUGGGGAAUAACCAGUCGAAAGAUUGGCUAAUACCGCAUAAUGCAGCGGCACCUAAUGGUGAUUAGUUGUUAAAGCGGGGGAUCGUAAGACCUCGCGCCUGAAGAGGAGCCUGCGGCAGAUUAGCUAGUUGGGAGGUAAUGGCUCACCAAGGCUUCGAUCUGUAGCUGGUCUGAGAGGACGGCCAGCCACACUGGCACUGACACACGGGCCAGACUCCUACGGGAGGCAGCAGUGGGGAAUUUUGGGCAAUGGGCGAAAGCCUGACCCAGCAACGCCGCGUGAGGGAGGAAAUCCUUCGGGAUGUAAACCUCACAAGCAAGGGAAGAGAGCUCAGGGCCGAAUAAGCUUUGAGUCCGACGGUACCUUGCGUAAGCCACGGCUAACUACGUGCCAGCCGCC
This 508-nucleotide ribosomal RNA is filed under the name uncultured bacterium. RNAcentral's name for it is "bacterial SSU rRNA". It matches the Rfam family "Bacterial small subunit ribosomal RNA", at positions 32 to 516 of the family's 1533-position model. The record is from RNAcentral.